RNAcentral lists this ribosomal RNA (467 nucleotides) under uncultured bacterium. Its description in RNAcentral is "partial 16S ribosomal RNA". It matches the Rfam family "Bacterial small subunit ribosomal RNA", at positions 29 to 507 of the family's 1533-position model. The record is from RNAcentral.
ACGAACGCUGGCGGCGUGCUUAACACAUGCAAGUCGAACGGAAAGGCCCUGCUUUUGUGGGGUGCUCGAGUGGCGAACGGGUGAGUAACACGUGAGUAACCUGCCCUUGACUUUGGGAUAACUUCAGGAAACUGGGGCUAAUACCGGAUAGGAGCUCCUGCUGCAUGGUGGGGGUUGGAAAGUUUCGGCGGUUGGGGAUGGACUCGCGGCUUAUCAGCUUGUUGGUGGGGUAGUGGCUUACCAAGGCUUUGACGGGUAGCCGGCCUGAGAGGGUGACCGGCCACAUUGGGACUGAGAUACGGCCCAGACUCCUACGGGAGGCAGCAGUGGGGAAUAUUGCACAAUGGGCGGAAGCCUGAUGCAGUAACGCCGCGUGCGGGAUGACGGCCUUCGGGUUGUAAACCGCUUUCGCCUGUGACGAAGCGUGAGUGACGGUAAUGGGUAAAGAAGCACCGGCUAACUACGUG